This 116-nucleotide ribosomal RNA is filed under the name Jakoba bahamiensis. The record is from RNAcentral. Lineage: Eukaryota; Jakobea; Jakobida; Jakobidae.
GUUUGUCGGUUUGAUUUCUGGAAGAUCCACACGAGCCCUUUUCGAAUUCGAAUGUGAAAGUCAGAAAGUACAUGCUUUUUUGCUAUUUGGUGAUGAGGUACGUAUAAUCGGCAGAU